GUAAACUUUGACAUUUCAAAUGAAGCCUUGUGGGUAGUUAAACAGGAUGUAAGGAUAGCUUAUCUAAAACCAAAUCAGAGUGACAGCUUAUAUAGAGUAUGUAAUGUAAGGAAUAGCAGAGGAUUUGAAUACCUGUAGAUUUAAGUGUUGGUUUACAUUUUUUAAUGUCAAAAGUGUAUUUACCUUCCCUUCCUUCCAUCCCUCUUGCCCCUUCUGGCUGGUCCUUGCUUCUGGGGCAGACCCCUAGUUGGUCUGCUCUUGUGAAGAUUCCAUAUCCCAAUCCAUCCUAGAGGACCUGCUGCACUCAAAGCAAUUGAGGACCCUCUGCACUCAGAGUAGUUAGACCCACCGUACUCAGAGCAGUUGAGAAGUUGAGGACCCUCUGCACUAAGAGCAGUUGUGGAUCCACUGCUCUCAGAGAAGUUGAGGAUUGGCUGUAAUCAGGUCAGUUGGACAACAUCUUGACUGCUCCAUGGAAGACCCAACAGUCUGAAGGCCUCCCAGGAGAUCUACUGUAACCAGGGCAACAGAUCAACAGCUUCUCUACUCCUGUGAGAGCCCCCAGUUGGAAGGUCCCAUAGGUGGUCUGAUACAGCCAGGGCUGUAAGCCUACCAGGAGACCUGAAGCAACUCAGAGACAAAAGAGGCAGACUUGAUACAGUCACCCAGAUCAACAAACACCAGGGAUAUCCAGAUGGCAAAAGGCAAGUGUAGGACCAUAAACAACAGAAGCCACAAUACAUGAGC
Molecule: long non-coding RNA, 747 nt
Filed under: Mus musculus (house mouse)
Lineage: Eukaryota; Metazoa; Chordata; Mammalia; Rodentia; Muridae
Description: long non-coding RNA chr9:8142990-8143737
Source: RNAcentral